Molecule: ribosomal RNA, 393 nt
Filed under: uncultured bacterium
Lineage: Bacteria
Description: partial 16S ribosomal RNA
Rfam family: Bacterial small subunit ribosomal RNA
Source: RNAcentral
AUACGGAGGAUCCAAGCGUUAUCCGGAUUUAUUGGGUUUAAAGGGUGCGUAGGCGGACUGGUAAGUCAGCUGUGAAAGUUUGCGGCUUAACCGUAAAAUUGCAGUUGAUACUGUCAGUCUUGAGUGUGCAUGAGGUGGGCGGAAUUUGUGGUGUAGCGGUGAAAUGCUUAGAUAUCACGAGGAACUCCAAUUGCGAAGGCAGCUCACUGGGGCAUAACUGGCGCUGAUGCACGAAGGUGUGGGUAUCAAACAGGAUUAGAUACCCUGGUAGUCCACACAGUAAACUAUGAAUACUCGCUGUUUGCGAUAUACAGUAAGCGGCCAAGCGAAAGCAUUAAGUAUUCCACCUGGGGAGUACGCCGGCAACGGUGAAACUCAAAUGAAUUGACGGGG